Molecule: ribosomal RNA, 403 nt
Filed under: Rhabdodiscus saxicola
Lineage: Eukaryota; Fungi; Ascomycota; Lecanoromycetes; Ostropales; Graphidaceae
Description: SSU rRNA
Rfam family: Bacterial small subunit ribosomal RNA
Source: RNAcentral
UAUUGGUCAAUAGCCUAACGGCUGAACCAGCAACUUGGCGGAAUGUAUAGGGAAAACUGGUAAAAUGUGUAGUACCUAAUAAUAUUAGCUAAUAAUAUGAUAUUAACUAAGUUAAUUAAAAUUCUGAGUAGAUAUGUGAUUAUGACAAUAUCUGCUAAAGUCUUGACCAAGUCACGUGCCAGCAGUCGCGGUAAUACGUGGAAGACGAGUGUUAUUCAUCUUUAUUAGGUUUAAAGGGUACCUAGACGGUUAAUUAAGCAAUUAUUUUGUACUGAUUAACUAGAGUUUAAUGUAAGAAGGAUCGAGUACGGUGAGUGUAGAGAUAAAAUUUUGUGAUACCAUCUUGGAACUGGUAAAAGCGAAGGCAACCUUCUAUGUAAAAACUGACGUUAAGGGACGAAGG